Molecule: ribosomal RNA, 253 nt
Filed under: uncultured bacterium
Lineage: Bacteria
Description: partial 16S ribosomal RNA
Rfam family: Bacterial small subunit ribosomal RNA
Source: RNAcentral
UACGUAGGGUGCGAGCGUUGUCCGGAUUUAUUGGGCGUAAAGAGCUCGUAGGCGGCUCGUCGCGUCGACCGUGAAAACCCGCGGCUUAACUGCGGGCUUGCGGUUGAUACGGGCGGGCUAGAGUUCGGUAGGGGAGACUGGAACUCCUGGUGUAGCGGUGAAAUGCGCAGAUAUCAGGAGGAACACCGGUGGCGAAGGCGGUUCUCUGGGCAUUACCUGACGCUGAGGAGCGAAAGUGUGGGGAGCGAACAGG